Molecule: ribosomal RNA, 433 nt
Filed under: uncultured bacterium
Lineage: Bacteria
Description: partial 16S ribosomal RNA
Rfam family: Bacterial small subunit ribosomal RNA
Source: RNAcentral
AGCGAACGCUGGCGGCAGGCCUAACACAUGCAAGUCGAACGAACUCUUCGGAGUUAGUGGCGGACGGGUGAGUAACACGUGGGAACGUGCCUUUUGGUUCGGAAUAACUCAGGGAAACUUGUGCUAAUACCGAAUGUGCCCUUCGGGGGAAAGAUUUAUCGCCAUUAGAGCGGCCCGCGUCUGAUUAGCUAGUUGGUGAGGUAACGGCUCACCAAGGCGACGAUCAGUAGCUGGUCUGAGAGGAUGACCAGCCACACUGGGACUGAGACACGGCCCAGACUCCUACGGGAGGCAGCAGUGGGGAACCUUGCGCAAUGGGCGAAGGCCUGACGCAGCCAUGCCGCGUGAAUGAUGAAGGUCUUAGGAUUGUAAAAUUCUUUCACCGGGGACGAUAAUGACGGUACCCGGAGAAGAAGCCCCGGCUAACUUCGUG